CUGGAUUGGAGCUCUCGCAGGCGGAGGCCACGACCUAGUUUAGCGUCCUUAGGGUAGCGCCGAGUCCUGCUCGUUCUGGGCGGGGGUAUGAAGGAGGUACGAAAAGAGGGGGCCGGGCGCCCACUUCUGAGGAGAACAACGGCGGACCCUGCGUUCGGAGCUACCCUGGCCGCCCACCCCGCCCCGCUCCCUGCGAGGAGCGGAGAUCUCAGAAACCAGAAACGGCGCCCACCGCACCCCACACGGCCCCACCUGGGGCCGCCUCCACGUGAUGUCCUCGCGGAACUGGGCCAGCGGCGUAGACAAGUCGCAGAAGAGCGAGGAGUCCGCGGCGGGGAAGGCGGCGUCCCGGAACAGCUCC
Molecule: long non-coding RNA, 361 nt
Filed under: Homo sapiens (human)
Lineage: Eukaryota; Metazoa; Chordata; Mammalia; Primates; Hominidae
Description: non-protein coding lnc-ANKMY1-4:1
Source: RNAcentral